GACGAACGCUGGCGGCGUGCUUAACACAUGCAAGUCGAACGGAAAGGCCCUGCUUUUGUGGGGUGCUCGAGUGGCGAACGGGUGAGUAAAACGUGAGUAACCUGCCCUUGUUUUUGGGAUAACUUCAGGAAACUGGGGCUAAUACCGGAUAGGAGAUCCUGCUGCAUGGUGGGGGUUGGAAAGUUUCGGCGGUUGGGGAUGGACUCGCGGCUUAUCAGCUUGGUGGUGGGGUAGUGGUAUACCAAGGCUUUGACGGGUAGCCGGCAUGGGAGGGUGACCGGGGACAUUGGGACUGAGGGACGGACCAGACGCCAACGGUAGGCAACGGGGGGGAAUAUUACACAAUGAGCGGAAGCCUGAGGCGGCGGCGCCGGGUGCGUGAUGACGGCUUUCGGGGUGUGAACCGCUUUCGCCGGAGACGAAGCGUGAGUGACGGUAAUGGAUAAAGAAGCACCGGCUAACUACGUG
Molecule: ribosomal RNA, 468 nt
Filed under: uncultured bacterium
Lineage: Bacteria
Description: partial 16S ribosomal RNA
Rfam family: Bacterial small subunit ribosomal RNA
Source: RNAcentral